This is a long non-coding RNA of Mus pahari (shrew mouse), 2457 nucleotides long. RefSeq lists it as uncharacterized. NCBI's taxonomy places the organism in Eukaryota, Metazoa, Chordata, Mammalia, Rodentia, Muridae. The transcript is spliced from 2 exons. The record is from RefSeq and is a predicted model, not a curated record.
GCCAGCCUGGUAGAACAAGUAAAAAGAGUAAAGGAGAUUGAAGCAAUUGAAAGUGAUUCUUUUGUUCAGCAGACAUUCAGAUCCAGUAAAGACAUCAAAAAGGCAGUAGAACCAAGUGAAGUGAAGCAUGUGACUGCAGCAAUAGGACCAGCAUCAGUAGCUGCUGACCCACCUAGCACUGGAAAGGAAAUCGACCCUGACAGCAUCCCAACGGCUAUCAAGUACCAAGAUGACAAUUCUCUAGCGCAUCCAGAUUUAUUUAUUGAAAAGGCUGAGGCUGAAGAAAAGUGGUUCAAGAGAUUAAUCGCUCUCCGACAAGAAAGACUGAUGGGCAGUCCCGUGGCCUAAGCACAGACUUACCGUUGGAUUGACAGUAACCUCGAAAACUUAGGUCUUAAAUGACCAAUAUUAACUUUCACUCUUAAAAAUAAUUUAGCCAAGUACAUAAAAAAGAAAUCUCAUUUCUUCUCUCAUGUUCAACUAAAUAUGUGGUAAUUUGAAUCUAACAUUGUGAACAGUGAAUCUGUUAUAAAAGCUCUGAGUGCAUGAAAACAUAUUUUACUGUUAGUAAAGCAGAUAAUAAAAAAUAUUAGUGUUGAAAUAAAUGAACACUCAGUAGUGUUUCUCAUUACAAUUCUUACAAAGUCAUAUUUUUGACCAACUAUUAGAUAAUUUUAUAUACGAGGGCUAUAUUACUUAGUAUGAGUAUGAGAUUUCAUCUCCUGUAUUAUGAAACCCUUCUUGAAACCCUUCGCUCACCUUUCUUAAGGUUUUUAGGUAUCAUAAAAGGUCCCCUAAGAAGUCUAAGCAAUGCCCAUGUUAGAUUUGAGGGCAGCGUGUUUUGUGUCAAGUGUGGACCGAGUCCUCUAACCCUGGGCCUUUGGAGGCUUAGGAGGUAGGAUCCCAAUCCCAGUCUACACCACACAGCAAGUCCUGGGAUAUCUCGGAGUAAAUGCUAACUAAAUAAAGGAAUAGUUUUUGCUUAGAGAUCAAUUUGUAUUCCGUGUUCUUUUGAAACCUGUAACUAGACUUCAGUCUUUACCUGUGGAAAUCACAUGCCCAAUAUUUUAGUCAUCACUGUGCAGUGCUGUGACAGAAGACCUGGCCUAACUUCAGGGGCAAGGCUUAUUUUAUUUCGUUUUAUGCUUUGAGCAAUCUCAGGCCAUGGUCAGCUGGCUCCACUGCAUGUGGCCUGUAGCAGGCAGAAACACUGCAAGAGGCCAUAUCCCAGGAAAGCCACUCACUAAUGCCUAUCGGGAAGCAAAGAGACAGGCAAGGGCUAAGGCCAUGGUGUACCCUUCAGGGACAUACUCCAGCCAUCUGCUUCUAGUCUGUCCCCUACCUCCUGGUGGCUCAUUCAGCUCUAAGUGCACAAUUUAGUCCCUUCAUGAAGUAACAGUCCUCGUACUCCAGUAACCCUCUCUGUAACACCACCAGCACACGGCCAGGCUUUAACGGUUGAGGCUUUUGGGAGACACUUCAUAUUCAAACCUUAAUGACCAUGCUAGACUAUGGGACUGACCUCAUGAUGGAAAAAGAAUUUCUGAGAAGUAAGAGCUCUUGCAGCACUCCUGCUAGGCAGCAUCUGCCCCCUCCUGAGGAAGCCACCAUGCCAUGUGUAGAAUGUCAUGUGUAGAAUGUUGUGUGUAGAAUGGCGUUCUCUAGUAGACAAGCGUGGACAUCUCUGCAGUCCAUACCUAACAUGCCAGAGAGAAGAGCUGUGGGCCUUGCUGUACAAAAUGGGAUUUCAACCCCUGGCACAAACACUUUUUUUCCCAUUUCUCUCUGCUUGCUUUUACACAGACUCUCUGAAGACUGGAGCUGAGGGCACAGCCAUGGGAAGGCCCUGGGAUGUGAGGUCAUUUUGAUUCUAUCUUUUUUACACUUUAGAGCUACUGAAGUUCUCUUCUCUGUUAAGGAUGGAAAGCAGGCAGGACCUUACACUCAGUUGCAAGUGCUGCUAUAAAGAACGUUUCUGUUAAAAUGGGUGUUCUCAUGGAGACGUUUUCUUGAUCUAGGCAAAGGCUAUUUUCCUUGGCUGUACAAAUAAACAUGACCAGGAUGAAGGAGGCCCAUGUGGUUAUUAAUGUAAACACAGCUACACAGUAGGGAUUUUGGGAGGGAUUAAUCUCAAAUAUUUUGCUUUUUAAUUCUUUAUAUAAUUUGUAAACUGUGGGUUCUCAUGCUACAGGAAGUGUAUAUCUAGGAAUGAAUAUACGCUAUCAAUGGGCCAUAGGGAGUCUUCCACACUUCCAUCUAUACUGCAGUGAAAAUACUGUAAUCUGCUUUCUAGUGUACCUUCUCCCUAGGUGUCUCAAUGACAGGUACACCAAAUACAGACACUUGAAUUGUAACGAAUUUGCAUCUUGAAGAUAAAUCUUUUGUGGAAAAUAAAAAGGCAAGCUUUGUUUUGUUUUCAUUUAUUUUAAGUAAGCAAAUAAACUUGGUCCUAAAGAA